This 440-nucleotide ribosomal RNA is filed under the name uncultured bacterium. Its description in RNAcentral is "partial 16S ribosomal RNA". It matches the Rfam family "Bacterial small subunit ribosomal RNA", at positions 338 to 795 of the family's 1533-position model. The record is from RNAcentral.
CCUACGGGAGGCAGCAGUAGGGAAUAUUGCUCAAUGGGGGAAACCCUGAAGCAGCAAAGCCGCGUGGAGGAUGAAGGUUCUCCGAUUGUAAACUCCUUUUUGUAGAGAAGCUAAUGACGGUAUCUGUCGACUUAGCACCGGCUAACUCCGUGCCAGCAUCCGCUGUAAUCAGGGCGGUGCACGCGUUAAUCCGAAUCAAUCGGGGUAAAGGGCGCGUAGGCGGGAUAGCAAGUCAGAUGGGAAAUACUAUGGCUUAACCAUAGAAGUGCAUUUGAAACUGAUAUUCUAGAGUUGGGGAGAGGUAGGUGGAAUGCUUGGUGUAGCGGUAAAAUGCGUAGAGAUCACGAGGAAUACUCAUUGCGAAGGCGACAUGCUAGAGCCUAACUGACGCUGAUGCGCGAAAGCGUGGGGAGCAAACAGGAUUAGAUACCCGUGUAGUC